CUUGACCUCAAAUCAGGUGGGACUACCCGCUGAACUUAAGCAUAUCAAUAAGCGGAGGAAAAGAAACUAACAAGGAUUCCCCUAGUAACUGCGAGUGAAGCGGGAAAAGCUCAAAUUUAAAAUCUGGCGGUCUCCGAGCCGUCCGAGUUGUAGUCUGGAGAAGCGUUUUCCGCGCUGGACCGUGUACAA
Molecule: ribosomal RNA, 189 nt
Filed under: Bondarzewia guaitecasensis
Lineage: Eukaryota; Fungi; Basidiomycota; Agaricomycetes; Russulales; Bondarzewiaceae
Description: partial 28S ribosomal RNA
Rfam family: Eukaryotic large subunit ribosomal RNA
Source: RNAcentral